UCCCCUAGUAACUGCGAGUGAAGAGGGAAAAGCUCAAAUUUAAAAUCUGGCAGUCUAUGGCUGUCCGAGUUGUAAAUUAGAGAAGUGUUAUCCGCUCAAGCCUGUGCAAAAGUCCCUUGGAAAAGGGCAUCAUAGAGGGUGACAAUCCCGUCUUUGGCACAGAUCACUUGCGCUUUUGUGAUGCGCUCUCAAUGAGUCGAGUUGUUUGGGAAUGCAGCUCCAAAUGGGUGGUAAAUUCCAUCUAAAGCUAAAUAUUGGCGAGAAACCGAUAGCGCACAAGUACCGUGAGGGAAAGAUGAAAAGAACUUUGAAAAGAGAGUUAAACAGUACGUGAAAUUGUUGAAAGGGAAACGCUUGGAGUCAGUCGUGUUCUGCGGAAUCAACUUAACCUUUGGUUGAGUGUACUUUUCGUAGGAUGGGUCAGCAUCAAUUUUGAUUGUUGGAAAAAGGACUAGGGAAUGUGGCAUCUUUGGAUGCGUUAUAGCCCUUGUUUGUAUACAAUGAUUGGGAUUGAGGAACUCAGUGUGACUUUUGUUUGGGGGCUUUGCCUCACAUCACACACUUAGGAUGCUGGCAUAAUGGCUUUAAUCGACCCGUCUUGAAACACGGACCAAGGAGUCUAACAUGCAUGCAAGUGUUUGGGUGGAAAACUCAAGCGCGUAAUGAAAGUGAAAGUUGAGAACCCUGUCGUGGGGUGCAUCGACACCCGGUCUUGAYCUUUUGUGAUGACCUGCGGUAGAGCAUGUAUGUUGGGACCCGAAAGAUGGUGAACUAUGCCUGAAUAGGGUGAAGCCAGAGGAAACUCUGGUGGAAGCUCGUAGCGAUUCUGACGUGCAAAUCGAUCGUCGAAUUUGGGUAUAGGGGCGAAAGA
RNAcentral lists this ribosomal RNA (871 nucleotides) under Hodophilus micaceus. Its description in RNAcentral is "LSU rRNA". It matches the Rfam family "Eukaryotic large subunit ribosomal RNA", at positions 76 to 930 of the family's 3401-position model. RNAcentral also lists the same sequence under 1 other name. Lineage: Eukaryota; Fungi; Basidiomycota; Agaricomycetes; Agaricales; Clavariaceae. The record is from RNAcentral.